GACGACUUUGGGUCCACCUCCCACCCGUGUUUAUUUUACCUUGUUGCUUCGGCGGGCCCGCCUUUACUGGCCGCCGGGGGGCUCACGCCCCCGGGCCCGCGCCCGCCGAAGACACCCCCGAACUCUGUCUGAAGAUUGAAGUCUGAGUGAAAAUAUAAAUUAUUUAAAACUUUCAACAACGGAUCUCUUGGUUCCGGCAUCGAUGAAGAACGCAGCGAAAUGCGAUACGUAAUGUGAAUUGCAAAUUCAGUGAAUCAUCGAGUCUUUGAACGCACAUUGCGCCCCCUGGUAUUCCGGGGGGCAUGCCUGUCCGAGCGUCAUUGCUGCCCUCAAGCCCGGCUUGUGUGUUGGGCCCCGUCCUCCGAUUCCGGGGGACGGGCCCGAAAGGCAGCGGCGGCACCGCGUCCGGUCCUCGAGCGUAUGGGGCUUUGUCACCCGCUCUGUAGGCCCGGCCGGCGCUUGCCGAUCAACCCAAAUUUUUAUCCAGGUUGACCUCGGAUCAGGUAGGGAUACCCGCUGAACUUAAGCAUAUCAAUAAGCGAGGG
This 545-nucleotide ribosomal RNA is filed under the name Penicillium polonicum. Its description in RNAcentral is "eukaryotic LSU rRNA". The stretch from base 168 to 320 matches the Rfam family "5.8S ribosomal RNA". Lineage: Eukaryota; Fungi; Ascomycota; Eurotiomycetes; Eurotiales; Aspergillaceae. The record is from RNAcentral.